GGCUGUGUCUCAAUUCAGGGUCUGCAUCCUACCUCGGCCGGAUUCGUCGGCCGGUUACGUCACAGCGCCGCGACUCGGCCUGUCCCAAUUCGAAGACUCCUUCAAAUGCGGUCGACGAAUGCGGCCUUCUUUUCGCCUGAAUGAAGGAUGGGUCGGGUGUAUCCUUCAAUAGGUAGCAUUUCCCAAGAUGCCUUGCGGGCCGGCCGGCAGAAAAACUUAAAAACAAUGGCGGACAGUGAAGCGGGAGCUGUCGGAGAGGAUUGCGCAUAUACAUGUAAGUAUAAACUUGAAAACUGUCAGUUUAAGGACUUUUUGUGAUACAUGAACGUUAUUUUAGUUAGAAAUGUUACAGUAAAAGUGCUUGUAUUGCGGUCUCGGCUCGUAUGUUCGGCCGCGCUCGGUGUCGUACUUCUCCCGCUACGUUUCCCCCUGAUUUUAAUAGAAGUUUGUAUUUUAGGAACAAAAGAGAAAACCAGGGAAUUUAUUAAGCUUAGGGCGGAGAUGGACCACAUGAUCACCGGAGCAAAGUAUUCGGCGGCUGUGGCAUGGAGACUAUUCUGGAGAAAAUGGGCAUCCAGGGGAAGGUGCCAGCGAUGAGCUUCUGGAGCUGAUCUGGGAGGACAUGAGGCUGCAGAGGGAGGCAGAGCAGCAGGAGCCCAGGAGAGAAGGAAGAACUUUGACAGCUUUUUACUUUGCUAGAAAAAAAUGGUUAAGGAAGAUUAAACAUGUACAUGUAAAAGAAAUAUCUAAAUAAAAUCAGUUCUGC
Nothobranchius furzeri (turquoise killifish) is the source of this 766-nucleotide non-coding RNA. Lineage: Eukaryota; Metazoa; Chordata; Actinopteri; Cyprinodontiformes; Nothobranchiidae. The record is from RefSeq and is a predicted model, not a curated record.